AACGAACGCUGGCGGCAUGCCUAACACAUGCAAGUCGAACGAGACCUUCGGGUCUAGUGGCGCACGGGUGCGUAACGCGUGGGAACCUGCCCUUAGGUUCGGAAUAACUCCCCGAAAGGGGUGCUAAUACCGGAUAAUGUCUUCGGACCAAAGAUUUAUCGCCUUUGGAUGGGCCCGCGUUGGAUUAGCUAGUUGGUAGGGUAAAAGCCUACCAAGGCGACGAUCCAUAGCUGGUCUGAGAGGAUGAUCAGCCACACUGGGACUGAGACACGGCCCAGACUCCUCCGGAAGGCGGCAGGGGGGAAUAUGGGACAAUGGGCGAAAGCCUGACCCAGCAAGGCGGGGGGAGUGAGGAAGGCUUUGGGGUGGAAAGGCUCUUUACCCGGGAUGAUAAUGACAGUACCGGGAGAAUAAGCUCCGGCUAACUCCGUG
RNAcentral lists this ribosomal RNA (432 nucleotides) under uncultured bacterium. RNAcentral describes it as "partial 16S ribosomal RNA". It matches the Rfam family "Bacterial small subunit ribosomal RNA", at positions 29 to 507 of the family's 1533-position model. The record is from RNAcentral.